GAAGCGGCAAAAGCUCAAUUUGAAAUCCUGCGGGAAUUGUAAUUUGAAGGUUUCGUGGUCUGAGUCGGCCGCGCCCAAGUCCAUUGGAACAUGGCGCCUGGGAGGGUGAGAGCCCCGUAUGGCGCACGCCGACUCUUUGCACCGCGGCUCCGACGAGUCGAGUUGUUUGGGAAUGCAGCUCUAAGUGGGUGGUAAAUUCCAUCUAAAGCUAAAUAUUGGCGAGAGACCGAUAGCGAACAAGUACAGUGAUGGAAAGAUGAAAAGCACUUUGAAAAGAGAGUGAAACAGCACGUGAAAUUGUUGAAAGGGAAGGGCUUGCAAGCAGACACGGUUUUACCGGGCCAGCGUCAAAUAAACGGGGGGGAAAAGGGGGAAAGAAUGUGGCGCGUGCCUUCGGGUUCGCGUGUUAUAGCUUUCUCUAAUACCCCCAUGUUUGUUUGAGGCCUGCGAUUCUAGGACGCUGGCGUAAUG
Molecule: ribosomal RNA, 471 nt
Filed under: Clavispora lusitaniae
Lineage: Eukaryota; Fungi; Ascomycota; Pichiomycetes; Serinales; Metschnikowiaceae
Description: eukaryotic LSU rRNA
Rfam family: Eukaryotic large subunit ribosomal RNA
Source: RNAcentral